Molecule: long non-coding RNA, 483 nt
Organism: Hyaena hyaena (striped hyena)
Lineage: Eukaryota; Metazoa; Chordata; Mammalia; Carnivora; Hyaenidae
Exons: 3
Source: RefSeq, a predicted model, not a curated record
CAGGGGGCCGGCACGGCCGUUCAGGAAGCCGGCCUCAGUCCCCCCAGGCUCUCGGGAGAAAGAGGGGCGGUCCUUCUCAACCUCGGCCACGCCUCCACCUCGCUGGGGUCCUUAGUCUUGCAGCCUGAAGGCUGCUCAGGCUCAACUAGAGACGACCCUCCGCUUUCCUGCCUGGAGGGUGCAGAUCUAGUUGUGAAUGACUGGGAGCUGAAUGGAGGAAGAGGACUCAGCAUCAAAUAAGCACUUUACACGCCGGGGACCCAAAAAACGUGGCAUUUGACAAGAAGGAGGAACAUGAGUGACCUGGAAGCAAGAGGAUGCUUCUGGAGGUUGUGCUCUACUAAAAUGAGGGACUAAACAGAAAAAAAGAAGACACAGGAUGUAAGUAACAAGACACAAUGCAAGAAAAAAAUGAUUUUUGAGAGGCCCUGACGACAGUUCUUCACUGGACAUGGAUUGGUGCAGGUCCAGAAGGCCCCAGAA